AUGGGCGAGAGCCUGAACCAGCCAAGUAGACGUGCAGGAUGACGGCCCUAUGGGUUGUAAACUGCUUUUGUAUGGGGAUAAAGUCAAUCACGUGUGAUUGUUUGCAGGUACCAUACGAAUAAGGACCGGCUAAUUCCGUGCCAGCAGCCGCGGUAAUACGGAAGGUCCGGGCGUUAUCCGGAUUUAUUGGGUUUAAAGGGAGCGUAGGCUGGAGAUUAAGUGUGUUGUGAAAUGUAGACGCUCAACGUCUGACUUGCAGCGCAUACUGGUUUCCUUGAGUACGCACAACGUUGGCGGAAUUCGUCGUGUAGCGGUGAAAUGCUUAGAUAUGACGAAGAACUCCGAUUGCGAAGGCAGCUGACGGGAGCGCAACUGACGCUGAAGCUCGAAGGUGCGGGUAUCGAACAGGAUUAGAUACCCUGGUAGUCCGCACAGUAAACGAUGGAUGCCCGCUGUUGGUACCUGGUAUCAGCGGCUAAGCGAAAGCAUUAAGCAUCCCACCUGGGGAGUACGCCGACAACGGUGAAACUCAAAGGAAUUGACGGGGGCCCGCACAAGCGGAGGAACAUGUGGUUUAAUUCGAUGAUACGCGAGGAACCUUACCCGGGCUUGAAUUGCA
This 619-nucleotide ribosomal RNA is filed under the name Prevotella sp. oral taxon 298. Its description in RNAcentral is "bacterial SSU rRNA". It matches the Rfam family "Bacterial small subunit ribosomal RNA", at positions 371 to 990 of the family's 1533-position model. The record is from RNAcentral. Lineage: Bacteria; Pseudomonadati; Bacteroidota; Bacteroidia; Bacteroidales; Prevotellaceae.